Colletotrichum gloeosporioides Cg-14 is the source of this 90-nucleotide transfer RNA. It matches the Rfam family "tRNA". From Rfam's summary of the family: Transfer RNA (tRNA) molecules are approximately 80 nucleotides in length. Their secondary structure includes four short double-helical elements and three loops (D, anti-codon, and T loops). NCBI's taxonomy places the organism in Eukaryota, Fungi, Ascomycota, Sordariomycetes, Glomerellales, Glomerellaceae. The record is from Rfam.
GCGUUCGUGGUGCAGUGGUUUAGCAUUCUGGCCUCCCACUCUCUCAGAGAAUGACAGCCAGGGACCUGGGUUCGAACCCCGGCGGACGCA